Molecule: ribosomal RNA, 330 nt
Filed under: uncultured bacterium
Lineage: Bacteria
Description: bacterial SSU rRNA
Rfam family: Bacterial small subunit ribosomal RNA
Source: RNAcentral
UGUGUAGGUGGCGCGCUAAGUUCCGUGUGAAAUCUCCCGGCUCAACCGGGAGGGUGCACGGAAAACUGGCGGGCUAGAGUACGGGAUGGGAGAGUAGAAUUCCUGGUGUAGCGGUGAAAUGCGUAGAUAUCAGGAGGAAUACCGGUGGUGUAGACGGCUCUCUGGACCGUAACUGACACUGAAACACGAAAGCGUGGGUAGCAAACAGGAUUAGAUACCCUGGUAGUCCACGCCCUAAACGAUGCAUAUUUGGUGUAGGUCAUUCAGUUGAUCUGUGCCGGAGCUAACGCGUUAAAUAUGCCGCCUGGGGAGUACAGUCGCAAGGCUGAA